This 128-nucleotide non-coding RNA is filed under the name uncultured eukaryote. The record is from RNAcentral.
GUGCUCACGCAGGUCGAAAUCGUUCGGCUUUUUAGACGCACAAACUCACGCCACCGAACAGCCGAUGCACCAGGGUCGGCUUCGGACGCGCUCCUUGAAUUGUGCCUGCGGUUUUGGCACCAGGGCCC